AUUAGCCGUUAGGGGUGUCCCGAAUUUUCGGGACUGAGAUUAAACCCUGAAACCUGAUCUGGAUAAUACCAGCGUAGGGAAACGGGCUAAAAGAAUG
RNAcentral lists this non-coding RNA (97 nucleotides) under Ignavibacteria bacterium. RNAcentral describes it as "TPP sequence". It matches the Rfam family "TPP riboswitch aptamer (THI element)". From Rfam's summary of the family: Vitamin B(1) in its active form thiamin pyrophosphate (TPP) is an essential coenzyme that is synthesised by coupling of pyrimidine and thiazole moieties in bacteria. The record is from RNAcentral. Lineage: Bacteria; Pseudomonadati; Ignavibacteriota; Ignavibacteria.